UACGUAGGGGGCAAGCGUUGUCCGGAUUUACUGGGCGUAAAGAGCGCGUAGGUGGAAGCGCCAGUCCGGCCUGAAAGCCCCCGGCUCAACCGGGGAGAGUGGCUGGAAACUGCGUUUCUUGAGGGCGAGAGAGGAGGGUGGAAUUCCUGGUGUAGCGGUGAAAUGCGCAGAUAUCAGGAAGAACACCCGUGGCGAAGGCGGCUCUCUGGGACGGUACUGACGCUGAGACGCGAAAGCGUGGGGAGCGAACAGG
This 253-nucleotide ribosomal RNA is filed under the name uncultured bacterium. RNAcentral's name for it is "partial 16S ribosomal RNA". It matches the Rfam family "Bacterial small subunit ribosomal RNA", at positions 524 to 776 of the family's 1533-position model. The record is from RNAcentral.